GACGGACGCUGGCGGCGUGCUUAACACAUGCAAGUCGAACGGAAAGGCCCUGCUUUUGUGGGGUGCUCGAGUGGCGAACGGGUGAGUAACACGUGAGUAACCUGCCCUUGACUUUGAGAUAACUUCAGGAAACUGGGGCUAAUACCGGAUAGGAGCUCCUGCUGCAUGGUGGGGGUUGGAAAGUUUCGGCGGUUGGGGAUGGACUCGCGGCUUAUCAGCUUGUUGGUGGGGUAGUGGCUUACCAAGGCUUUGACGGGUAGCCGGCCUGAGAGGGUGACCGGCCGCAUUGGGACUGAGAUACGGCCCAGACUCCUACGGGAGGCAGCAGUGGGGAAUAUUGCACAAUGGGCGGAAGCCUGAUGCAGCAACGCCGCGUGCGGGAUGACGGCCUUCGGGUUGUAAACCGCUUUCGCCUGUGACGAAGCGUGAGUGACGGUAAUGGGUAAAGAAGCACCGGCUAACUACGUG
Molecule: ribosomal RNA, 468 nt
Filed under: uncultured bacterium
Lineage: Bacteria
Description: partial 16S ribosomal RNA
Rfam family: Bacterial small subunit ribosomal RNA
Source: RNAcentral